UUUUUCUUUUGUUCUUUUUUUUUUCCGGAGCUGGGGACCGAACCCAGGGCCUUGCGCAUGCUAGGCAAGCGCUCUACCGCUGAGCUAAAUCCCCAACCAUAUGAAACUCUCAAUAAACAAAAAUAUUUUUCAGAACCUUACACAAUCAACAGACUUUUGCUAAAUAGCUGUGGUCUACAACACAAUGACUUCUAAAACCAUGGAAUCUAAGCCGCUGUCACAAUGGUGAAGCCAACAGGUGAGUAACUAAGUAACUAUGGUCCGUACACACUUCAGGCCUCAGCUUUCUUCCAAUGCAAAUAAAGGUGCAUGCGAUACAGCUGGGUAGCCAUUCCUCACUAAGCUUAAAUCACUUUAGGUACUGGGUAAAGUAGUCUUUUGCUGGGGGAUAAUGGACCCAGGACUGGUACCCCCUGAAGAUGGAUGUGGGUGCUCUGAGGGGAAGCUGAAUGUUGAUGUGACAACUUGGAAAUUGAGAGAAGAGACUGACAGGCAAACUUUACCUGCAUCACUGAGCCUUAGCAUCAACUUACGACAUUUUAAAGAUAGUAUUGUAUUUACAUUAUCUUUAAUUCUCUUUUUUUCAGGGUCCUACACACACACACACACACACACACACACACACACACACACACACACACACACAGCAAGGGGGAUGACCUCUUAAAGACAGUCAACAGCUUUAAGGAUGGUUACCUCUACAAGAUAUGGGGAUAAAGCCAAACUCACGCCUUAGGAACCUGACUGCUACUUCUGUAUUAGCGAUU
This 767-nucleotide long non-coding RNA is filed under the name Rattus norvegicus (Norway rat). Its description in RNAcentral is "long non-coding RNA NONRATT018288". The record is from RNAcentral. Lineage: Eukaryota; Metazoa; Chordata; Mammalia; Rodentia; Muridae.